This 503-nucleotide ribosomal RNA is filed under the name uncultured bacterium. Its description in RNAcentral is "partial 16S ribosomal RNA". It matches the Rfam family "Bacterial small subunit ribosomal RNA", at positions 30 to 523 of the family's 1533-position model. The record is from RNAcentral.
AUUGAACGCUGGCGGCAGGCUUAACACAUGCAAGUCGAGCGGGGUGAUGGUGCUUGCACUAUCACUUAGCGGCGGACGGGUGAGUAAUGCUUAGGAAUCUGCCUAUUAGUGGGGGACAACAUCUCGAAAGGGAUGCUAAUACCGCAUACGUCCUACGGGAGAAAGCAGGGGAUCACUUGUGACCUUGCGCUAAUAGAUGAGCCUAAGUCGGAUUAGCUAGUUGGUGGGGUAAAGGCCUACCAAGGCGACGAUCUGUAGCGGGUCUGAGAGGAUGAUCCGCAACACUGGGACGGAGACACGGCCGAGACUCCUGCGGGAGGCAGCAGUGGGGAAUAUUGGACAAUGGGGGGAACCCUGAUCCAGCCAUGCCGCGUGUGUGAAGAAGGCCUUAUGGUUGUAAAGCACUUUAAGCGAGGAGGAGGCUCUUUUGGUUAAUACCCAAGAUGAGUGGACGUUACUCGCAGAAUAAGCACCGGCUAACUCUGUGCCAGCAGCCGCCGUAA